Ornithodoros turicata is the source of this 289-nucleotide long non-coding RNA. RefSeq lists it as uncharacterized. The transcript has 3 exons. Lineage: Eukaryota; Metazoa; Arthropoda; Arachnida; Ixodida; Argasidae. The record is from RefSeq and is a predicted model, not a curated record.
GUCUUGGCAGCACAUCAUAGGGCCACACCCUCUGACGUGGAUUGAACCCUUUUUCCUCAGCGCAUCUGGAGAUCACAUUCGUGCUCCUGUGGUUGCCUGUGCAACAGAAGACAGGCUGCGGGCGAGGCUGAAAGACUGGGCACGGGAGGAGCCUCACCUGCCUGUCCCUGACAUUUAUGAGCAGGAGCUCGUAUCCCUGGACAGAGCACAUGAAAUGCAAGAUCAAGACCUUGCGUUAUCCUUGGACUUGACGAGAAGUGAUUUUGAACAGGCGCUCAUUGGUGCGUUG